UUGCAUUUAGAUUGAUAAGUGUGUGCUGU
RNAcentral lists this non-coding RNA (29 nucleotides) under Homo sapiens (human). The record is from RNAcentral. Lineage: Eukaryota; Metazoa; Chordata; Mammalia; Primates; Hominidae.